Molecule: long non-coding RNA, 764 nt
Organism: Oenanthe melanoleuca
Lineage: Eukaryota; Metazoa; Chordata; Aves; Passeriformes; Muscicapidae
Exons: 2
Source: RefSeq, a predicted model, not a curated record
UGGUACCCCUGCACUGCAGAGCAACCAGAGGUCUAGAAGAAGCAGACAAAAAGUCUCGUAGGAAAGGGAUGAGAAGAACGCUGAAAAGGAACCACCAAGCACGAUGAAGCUACACCUUUCAUUGUACUCACCAGGUGACUUAAUUCCUGAAAUGAGAUUAAGAAUUCACCACCCAAAUGUAAUCAUCAGACACCACGAAAAGUAUGUGGAAAGUUCAGCUCAUUCUAGCUGUUCCACAGGGACUCUGAGGGAUGAAUGCACAGGUUUAAAACUGCUGCUUAGGUAUUCCUCUCCCUUCAGUUUUCCAAUUGUCACUUCUCCUUCUUAACCAACUAGUGCAUCUUCCCCUGGUUUUGUAAAAUAACAUCUCCUGCACUUUGUCUCUGCAGAGGCAGCACCCAAACAGCCAUAACUCAGUGCUGUCAGCCCAUGCAAGUAUAAAGUCAGGGAUUUCACAAGUUAUUUGCUCCUGGAAGUUUUCUCACAUGGAUACAUCAAUGUUUUCUGAGUUCUAAGAAUUUUAACUGAGUUACUGAUAGGUCACAGUUUUGUCAGCCUCUCUUAUUGGGCAGUUUCCCUGUUACAUCUGUUGUCAGUGCAUGUGCAAUUUCAGAAAUCAAUGGCAGAUUAGUUCUCUUUCAAUAGCAUGUGUAUUCAGAAGCACAGCAGCUUUCUCAGCCAUUUUAACUCUUGCUGGAGGUCUCUUUCACACUAGCACCCUCUCUAAUGUACUUCAGAGACAUUAAAGCACUGGAGAAACAUUU